This 336-nucleotide ribosomal RNA is filed under the name uncultured Fastidiosipila sp. RNAcentral describes it as "bacterial SSU rRNA". It matches the Rfam family "Bacterial small subunit ribosomal RNA", at positions 1032 to 1382 of the family's 1533-position model. The record is from RNAcentral. Lineage: Bacteria; Bacillati; Bacillota; Clostridia; Eubacteriales; Oscillospiraceae.
GUACAGGUGCUGCAUGGCUGUCGUCAGCUCGUGUCGUGAGAUGUUCGGUUAAGUCCGCUAACGAGCGCAACCCUCGCUGUGUGUUACAAGUGUCACACAGGACCGCCGGUCUUAAGCCGGAGGAAGGUGGGGAUGACGUCAAGUCAGCAUGGCCUUUAUGUCCAGGGCUACACACACGCUACAAUGGUCAGCACAAUAGGUAGCCAAGCCGCGAGGUGGAGCCAAUCCUCAAAGCUGGCCUCAGUUCAGAUCGCAGGCUGCAACCCGCCUGCGUGAAGCCGGAGUUGCUAGUAACCGCAGGUCAGCUAUACUGCGGUGAAUACGUUCCCGGGGCUU